This 403-nucleotide ribosomal RNA is filed under the name uncultured bacterium. Its description in RNAcentral is "bacterial SSU rRNA". It matches the Rfam family "Bacterial small subunit ribosomal RNA", at positions 355 to 776 of the family's 1533-position model. The record is from RNAcentral.
UGGGGAAUAUUGCACAAUGGAGGAAACUCUGAUGCAGCGACGCCGCGUGAACGAUGAAGGCCUUCGGGUCGUAAAGUUCUGUCCUAGGGGACGAUAAUGACGGUACCCUAGGAGGAAGCCCCGGCUAACUACGUGCCAGCAGCCGCGGUAAUACGUAGGGGGCGAGCGUUGUCCGGAAUUAUUGGGCGUAAAGGGUUCGUAGGCGGUCUUUUAAGUCAGAUGUGAAAGGUCACGGCUCAACCGUGGUAAGCAUUUGAAACUGAAAGACUUGAGUUAAGGAGAGGAAAGUGGAAUUCCUAGUGUAGCGGUGAAAUGCGUAGAUAUUAGGAGGAAUACCAGUGGCGAAGGCGACUUUCUGGACUUAUACUGACGCUGAGGAACGAAAGCGUGGGGAGCAAACAGG